CAGUCGCCGCGGUAAAACGAAGGGGGCUAGCGUUGUUCGGAAUUACUGGGCGUAAAGCGCACGUAGGCGGAUAUUUAAGUCAGGGGUGAAAUCCCAGAGCUCAACUCUGGAACUGCCUUUGAUACUGGGUAUCUUGAGUAUGGAAGAGGUGAGUGGAAUUCCGAGUGUAGAGGUGAAAUUCGUAGAUAUUCGGAGGAACACCAGUGGCGAAGGCGGCUCACUGGUCCAUUACUGACGCUGAGGUGCGAAAGCGUGGGGAGCAAACAGGAUUAGAUACCCGAGUAGUCCCUGUCUCUUAUAC
Molecule: ribosomal RNA, 301 nt
Filed under: uncultured bacterium
Lineage: Bacteria
Description: partial 16S ribosomal RNA
Rfam family: Bacterial small subunit ribosomal RNA
Source: RNAcentral